UGGCGAUAAAGGGUGUGAAAAGCACCCUCGCCGAAAGCCCAAGGUUUCCUGCGCAACGUUCAUCGGCGCAGGGUGAGUCGGCCCCUAAGGCGAGGCCGAAAGGCGUAGUCGAUGGGAAACGGGUCAAUAUUCCCGUACCGAUCACAGAUGCGAUGAGGGGACGGAGAAGGUUAGCUCAGCCGGGUGUUGGAUGUCCCGGUUUAAGCGUGUAGGCGUGCUGCAUAGGCAAAUCCGUGCGGCUUAGCUGAGGCGUGAUGACGAGGAACUUCGGUUCUGAAGUGAGUGAUACCCAGCUUCCAGGAAAAGCCUCUAAGCUUCAGUCUGUGAUUGACCGUACCGCAAACCGACACAGGUGGGCAGGAUGAAAAUUCUAAGGCGCUUGAGAGAACUCAGGAGAAGGAACUCGGCAAAUUGAUACCGUAACUUCGGGAGAAGGUAUGCCUCGGUAGCGUGAAGCCCCUGCGGGUGGAGCGUGAUGAGGUCGCAGAGAAUCGGUGGCUGCAACUGUUUAAUAAAAACACAGCACUCUGCAAAGGCGAAAGCCGACGUAUAGGGUGUGACGCCUGCCCGGUGCCGGAAGGUUAAGUGAUGGGGUGCAAGCUCUUGAUCGAAGCCCCGGUAAACGGCGGCCGUAACAAUAACGGUCCUAAGGUAGCGAAAUUCCUUGUCGGGUAAGUUCCGACCUGCACGAAUGGCGUAAUGAUGGCCACACUGUCUCCUCCUGAGACUCAGCGGAGUUGAAAUGUUUGUGAAGAGGCAAUCUACCCGCGGCUAGACGGAAAGACCCCAUGAACCUUUACUGUAGCUUUGCAUUGGACUUUGACGGGACUUGUGUAGGAUAGGUGGGAGGCUGUGAGGCGUGGUCGCCAGAUCGCGCGGAGCCAACCUUGAAAUACCACCCUGGUGUCGUUGAGGUUCUAACCUUGGUCCGUGAAUCCGGAUCGGGGACCGUGCAUGGCAGGCAGUUUGACUGGGGCGGUCUCCUCCCAAAGAGUAACGGAGGAGUACGAAGGUCUUCUAAGCACGGUCGGACAUCGUGCUCAUAGUGCAAUGGCAAAAGAAGGCUUGACUGCGAGACCCACAAGUCGAGCAGGUGCGAAAGCAGGUCAUAGUGAUCCGGUGGUUCUGUAUGGAAGGGCCAUCGCUCAACGGAUAAAAGGUACUCUGGGGAUAACAGGCUGAUUCCACCCAAGAGUUCAUAUCGACGGUGGAGUUUGGCACCUCGAUGUCGGCUCAUCACAUCCUGGGGCUGUAGCCGGUCCCAAGGGUAUGGCUGUUCGCCAUUUAAAGUGGUACGUGAGCUGGGUUUAAAACGUCGUGAGACAGUUUGGUCCCUAUCUGCCGUGGGCGCUGGAAAUUUGAGGGGGCCUGCUCCUAGUACGAGAGGACCGGAGUGGACGAACCUCUGGUGUACCGGUUGUCACGCCAGUGGCAUCGCCGGGUAGCUAAGUUCGGAGGAGAUAAACGCUGAAAGCAUCUAAGCGUGAAACUCGCCUCAAGAUGAGAUUUCCCGGGGGUUCAACCCCCCUGAAGGGUCGUCCAAGACCAGGACGUUGAUAGGUCAGGU
RNAcentral lists this ribosomal RNA (1567 nucleotides) under metagenome. RNAcentral describes it as "bacterial LSU rRNA". It matches the Rfam family "Bacterial large subunit ribosomal RNA", at positions 1307 to 2866 of the family's 2925-position model. The record is from RNAcentral.